Molecule: ribosomal RNA, 253 nt
Filed under: uncultured bacterium
Lineage: Bacteria
Description: partial 16S ribosomal RNA
Rfam family: Bacterial small subunit ribosomal RNA
Source: RNAcentral
UACAGAGGCCUCAAGCGUUGUUCGGAUUCAUUGGGCGUAAAGGGUGCGUAGGCGGCGCGGUAAGUCGGGUGUGAAAUCUCGGGGCUUAACUCCGAAACUGCAUUCGAUACUGCCGUGCUUGAGGACUGGAGAGGAGACUGGAAUUUACGGUGUAGCGGUGAAAUGCGUAGAUAUCGUAAGGAAGACCAGUGGCGAAGGCGGGUCUCUGGACAGUUCCUGACGCUGAGGCACGAAGGCCAGGGGAGCAAACGGG